Molecule: unclassified non-coding RNA, 307 nt
Organism: Chlorocebus sabaeus (green monkey)
Lineage: Eukaryota; Metazoa; Chordata; Mammalia; Primates; Cercopithecidae
Gene: 7SK
Rfam family: 7SK RNA
About the family: 7SK was discovered as an abundant small nuclear RNA in the mid-70s but a possible function has only recently been suggested. Two independent studies have found that 7SK RNA binds the CDK9/cyclin T complex (known as elongation factor P-TEFb). P-TEFb activates transcription by phosphorylating the C-terminal domain of RNA polymerase II.
Source: Ensembl
GGAUGUGAGGGCAACCUGGCUGCAACAUCUGUCACCCCAUUGAUUGCCAGGGAUGAUUUGGCUGAUCUGGCUGGCUCGGCAGGUAGCCCCUUCCUCCCUUACUGCUCCAUGUGUGUCCCUCCCGAAGGUGUGCUCUCAGUCGAAGAGGACGACCAUCCCUGAUAGAGGAGGACGGGUCUUCAGUCAAGGGUGUACAAGUAGCUAUGCUCUCUUGCGAGAACCUCCAAACAAGCUCUCAAGAUAAACAGCUGUGGAGACAAAGGUUUGAUUAUGCAGCUGAAGCCUCCAGGUAGCAGGUUUCAGAGCU